Molecule: long non-coding RNA, 1695 nt
Filed under: Parus major (Great Tit)
Lineage: Eukaryota; Metazoa; Chordata; Aves; Passeriformes; Paridae
Description: lncRNA (ENSPMJG00000018804.1)
Source: RNAcentral
UGGGCUGUGCUGGGCUGUGCUGGGCUGUGCUGGGCUGUGCUCUGUGCUGGGCUGUGCUGGGCUGUGCUGGGCUGUGCUGGGCUGUGCUGGGCUGUGCUGUUCAGGCAGCUGGGGCUGUGCUGCAGUCAGGCACAAGGGAACAAGCAGGGAGCAGGUGCUGGCACUGGGUUUUCAUUCCCGGGGAGCUCCGUGCGUGUCCCUGCAGCAGCGAUGCUCCCGGUGCCCGUGGUGGAGCCGUGCCUGGGGCUGCUGUGUGGUUGCACCUGCUGCACCUCUGCAGCCCAUGGCACUGUCCCUGCUGCACCUCUGCAACCUGUGGCUGCAAUCUGCUGCACCUCUGCAACCCAUAGCUGCGCCUUCCUGCACCUCUGCAGCUCGUGGUUGCACCUGCUGCACCUCUGCAGCCCAUGGUACUGUCCCUGCUGCACCUCUGCAACCCAUGGCUGCACCUGCUGCACCUCUGCAGCCUGUGGCACUGUCCCUGCUGCACCUCUGCAACCCAUGGCUGCACCUGCUGCACCCCUGCAGCCCGUGGCACUGUCCCUGCCGCUGGAACACCAGGACAACGCAGAGAGCCCUGCCCAGGGCCCCCAGGGCUGUGCAGACAAGACUCAUUCCCUUGCUGCCUUGUGCCAACUGCAGCUGCUGGAGCCAACUCUCCAUCACCUGGAAGCCUGCAGGAAACAAAACACCUCCCUGCCGAGCCACCGUGGCUACCAGGGACCACCUGGGCUCAGCCUGGGCCAGCUGCACAACCUCUGAGCCUCCCUGGCUCUCUGGAGCUCUCAGGAGCUGAAGCUCUGUGUUUGUGUGGGGCACAGGACGAAGCUGCACCUGCACCUGAAGCCUGGAGCUACGGAAUGCUCGGGAAGCCCUGAGAAGGAAAAGAUGAGGGGCAACCUGGAGCAAAGCUGUGUCCCCUCAGCAGAGCCCCAGGGGUGUCAGCUGUCCCCAGUGGCACAGGGAGCUGUUCCCAGGGUGACCCAAGCCCUCCCUGAGCAGUCCCUGCUCCUCUCAGGCAGGGUGUCCCAGUUUCACCAGCUCCCAGCAAACUGGGCCGAGCUGAGGGUAUUUCUGGCAGCCGUGGGUGCACAGUGUCAGCUGCUCCACGGGGCAAAGCCCUGCCCUGCCAGCUGAGGGACAGCAGGAGCUCAGCCAGGUUCCUGCAGUCCCAAGAGCCUGGAGCACUUCAUCCUCAGUCCUGAACAUUCCCAGGACCUCCCUGACUCCUCUGGGAACUCUGGCUCUGCCUGUCUCCCUCUCCUCAAGGGUGUCCUGCACCCUCCUGGCCCACAGGGUGCUGGGGCACCCACGGGUGACCCUGAGACAGAAGCACAGCCCUCCCUCCCUUCUGAACCCAGCAUUCCCCAUCCCACACAGAGACAGGAGGAGCAGAACUCACCAAAGUGCCUUCCCUGGCCCAAAUCUACAAAUCAGACUUUUAUCCACAGCUCCCUCCAACACAGACACCUCACCAGGCACUUUUAAAGCCUUAAUUCCCAUUCUACCUCCUAAUCCAAACUCAGGUUGUUCUCAUCACCUAUAUUUGAACCAGCUCUAUUUUUAGUUUCCUGCUUUAAAAUGAAGAUGAGGACUUGCCUUUUAUAGACUGUGCACUCCUGCUAUCUGAGCAGAACCGAAAUUAAUACCAGUUCCUGCUACCUUGGAAUAAAAGCUGGUGUUACAUCUGAAACA